Molecule: ribosomal RNA, 443 nt
Filed under: uncultured bacterium
Lineage: Bacteria
Description: partial 16S ribosomal RNA
Rfam family: Bacterial small subunit ribosomal RNA
Source: RNAcentral
CCUACGGGUGGCAGCAGUAGGGAAUAUUGGGCAAUGGAGGCAACUCUGACCGAGCAACGCCGCGUGAAUGAUGAAGGUCUUCGGAUUGUAAAGUUCUGUGGUGGGGGAUGAACACAAUGACGGUACCCCAAUAGCAAGCCACGGCUAACUACGUGCCAGGCGCCGCGGUAAUACGUAGGUGGCAAGCGUUUUCCGGAAUGACUGGGCGGAAAGGGUGCGUAGGUGGUUUAGUAAGUUGACGGUGUAAUUCCUGGGCCUAACCUCGGCGAUACCGCCAAAACUAUUAGACUAGAGUGCAGGAGGGGUGAGUGGAAUUCCUAGUGUAGCGGUGGAAUGCGUAGAUAUAAGGAGGAACAUCAGGGGCGAAGGCGACUUACUGGACUGUAACUGACACUGAGGCACGAAAGCGUGGGGAGCAAACAGGAUUAGAUACCCCAGUAGUC